AUGGCCACAUCACAUUGAAACACCAGUUCCUGUAUAAUCACUGAAGUUAAAAAACAUUGAGUCUAGUCAGUACCUAGAUGGGUGACCGCUUGGGAAUACCAACU
This is a non-coding RNA of Acanthosepion pharaonis, 104 nucleotides long. The record is from the annotation of a GenBank genome assembly. NCBI's taxonomy places the organism in Eukaryota, Metazoa, Mollusca, Cephalopoda, Sepiida, Sepiidae.